This 465-nucleotide ribosomal RNA is filed under the name uncultured bacterium. RNAcentral's name for it is "bacterial SSU rRNA". It matches the Rfam family "Bacterial small subunit ribosomal RNA", at positions 26 to 518 of the family's 1533-position model. The record is from RNAcentral.
AGGACGAACGCUGGCGGCGUGCUUAACACAUGCAAGUCGACGGAGUAUUGAAGAAGCUUGCUUAGAGAUACUUAGUGGCGGACGGGUGAGUAACGCGUGAGGAGCUGUCCUAUGCAGGGGGACAACAGCUGGAAACGGCUGCUAAUACCCCAUAAGCCGAGAGGUAAAAGGAUCAAUCCGGCAGAGGAGGUACUCGCGUCCUAUCAGCUAGUAGGUGAGGUAACGGCUCACCUAGGCGAAGACGGGUAGCCGGCCUGAGAGGGCGAACGGCCACACUGGAACUGAGAUACGGUCCAGACUCCUACGGGAGGCAGCAGUGGGGAAUAUUGGGCAAUGGGGGAAACCCUGACCCAGCGACGCCGCGUGGGUGAAGAAAUCCUUCGGGAUGUAAAGCCCUGUUGUAUGGGAAGAGCGGAAGACGGUACCAUACGAGGAAGCCCCGGCAAACUACGUGCCAGCCGCUGC